This 61-nucleotide transfer RNA is filed under the name Anindobothrium lisae. Its description in RNAcentral is "tRNA-Ala". The record is from RNAcentral. Lineage: Eukaryota; Metazoa; Platyhelminthes; Cestoda; Phyllobothriidea; Phyllobothriidae.
AACGAUAUAUUUUAUAAAGAAUAUUGGGUUUGCGUCUCAAAGGUGGAAUUUCUUAUCGUUA